Carcharodon carcharias (great white shark) is the source of this 1152-nucleotide long non-coding RNA. RefSeq lists it as uncharacterized. The record is from RefSeq and is a predicted model, not a curated record. NCBI's taxonomy places the organism in Eukaryota, Metazoa, Chordata, Chondrichthyes, Lamniformes, Lamnidae. The transcript has 2 exons.
GAGAACGUGAUCAGCAGUGAGGAUUCCUUUCAGCCAGUGCUAAUACACGACGACAUAAAGCUAUUGCAUGGAAAUCGGAAACAGAAUUAAAUGGAGAGACAGAUUGAAGGAGGGAGAGGAAAACAAAAAAGGAGAGCGAAAUGAAAAGAAAUUAAAUAAAGGAUUUGGUGCAGCCUGGAGCUCGCUCUGCUCUCUGAGAUUUGAAAUUGGACUUCCAAAGGGGAUGUAAUGGAGUCUGCUGCUGCAAUAAGGAAUUUUAAAUCUCUGCCUUCAGCUUCCAAGCCUUUCUUUGGAGCUUUCUCUUGGAAAUUUUUCCUCUACACCACUGCUUAUGGAGCUUCUUUUCAGAUCAGGCUGCUUUGUUACAUUUUUUUCUCAGUCUUCUAGUAUUUGAGCUUUAUUCUGCAUUUUCUGUGAGGUUUUGGGUUUUUCCACAAGCUGCCCCCAUGUUGUAGGGCGUUGGUUACAGUCUGGUAGGUCUGAAGAAGUCCUCAUAGUCAUACAUAUGUUAACUGUAAGUCUUUAUUGACUCGUAGAACUAUUUACAAAUAUACAGUAAAGGGUAAAAGCUAGGAUCAAUCUCCAUGCUUGCUGAUACACAUGGCUCUGUCCAACACUCAAAUGGCUCUGGGUCACGUGCUAUCUUACACCACUGUGUGGGCGGUAUUGCACUCAGUCCCACAAUAACCCUAUAUGUGCCAGACCCUUAUACCACAGGGCUGAGCAACACUACUUUCACAGGGCAGUCACUAGCAAUGCCUAAUAUCCCAGUUUGGCACUGUAGAAACAGCAAAUAUAAUUAUAAUCCAUUAGGAAGCAACCAACUUGAAAGUACCAAAAUGGUUUCUAAAGCACAGCCCUCACCAUCGGCUAAUGCCCUUCCUAUUGUUAACCAGCCAAAUUCAAUGUUUCAGCCGAGAGCUGUAUUACCUCCGUAAAGGUCUGUAAUUUGAACUCUUAUCCCUCACAGAUAUCUUUAUAUCUACUAUUUGACAUAUGAAAAGGGUCACCAUGGCAGAGCCCUUUAAAAUGGAGAGAAGAAUUUAAAAUUAAUACCUUCACCUUUAUCCCAAAGACUGUUUCAUCUUGAAAUGUGCUCCAUGGUAAAACUCGACACAUCUUAUUGCAAUAAACACAAAGCCAGCAUCUUAA